This 248-nucleotide ribosomal RNA is filed under the name Acinetobacter baumannii. RNAcentral's name for it is "partial 23S ribosomal RNA". It matches the Rfam family "Bacterial large subunit ribosomal RNA", at positions 508 to 759 of the family's 2925-position model. Lineage: Bacteria; Pseudomonadati; Pseudomonadota; Gammaproteobacteria; Moraxellales; Moraxellaceae. The record is from RNAcentral.
GGAAAGGCGAAAAGAACCCCGGCGAGGGGAGUGAAAUAGAACCUGAAACCGUGUACGUACAAGCAGUGGGAGCACCUUCGUGGUGUGACUGCGUACCUUUUGUAUAAUGGGUCAGCGACUUAUAUUUUGUAGCAAGGUUAACCGAAUAGGGGAGCCGUAGGGAAACCGAGUCUUAACUGGGCGUCUAGUUGCAAGGUAUAGACCCGAAACCCGGUGAUCUAGCCAUGGGCAGGUUGAAGGUUGGGUAA